GACGAACGCUGGCGGCGUGCUUAACACAUGCAAGUCGAACGAUGAACCCGGAGCUUGCUCUGGGGGAUUAGUGGCGAACGGGUGAGUAACACGUGAGUAACCUGCCCUGGACUCUGGGAUAAGCGUUGGAAACGACGUCUAAUACCGGAUAGGGCCUUGGAUCGCAUGAUCUGGGGUGGAAAGUUUUUUCGGUCUGGGAUGGACUCGCGGCCUAUCAGCUUGUUGGUGGGGUAAUGGCUCACCAAGGCGUCGACGGGUAGCCGGCCUGAGAGGGUGACCGGCCACACUGGGACUGAGACACGGCCCAGACUCCUACGGGAGGCAGCAGUGGGGAAUAUUGCACAAUGGGCGAAAGCCUGAUGCAGCAACGCCGCGUGCGGGAUGACGGCCUUCGGGUUGUAAACCGCUUUUAGUAGGGAAGAAGGGCUUCGGCUUGACGGUACCUGCAGAAAAAGGACCGGCUAACUACGUG
Molecule: ribosomal RNA, 472 nt
Filed under: uncultured bacterium
Lineage: Bacteria
Description: partial 16S ribosomal RNA
Rfam family: Bacterial small subunit ribosomal RNA
Source: RNAcentral